GCAUACCCCUAAACAUUUUGUGAAUCUUUGUACUUUCAUCCAUUUACUGUAUUUAUUUCCCCCGAUUUGAACUAUAAAAUGGUGAUUUUUCUUGAGUCAAAAUGAGAGUACCUCUAAACAUUUUUUUAGGGGGGGAAAGCACUGCAUGCAUUAUUUCAAGAUGUUUGCAUUUUUUAAAGGAUCAUGUGAAGGUGAGCAGCAGAUCAGAUGUUGUAUCCCUAACUAAACCGUAUUCUUAGAAUAUUAUUUCACAACACAGCAUCCAAGUGGGGUGUGGAUGGAUUUGAAAGAAGCCCUUAAUAACCUACCCCAUUUUAAGAGGCUGAGAUGCUGUUUUUCCUUCAGAAAUCUCCUCUCUGUUUAUUGCCCCAUUUUUGUUUAGCAAGUUGCUCUGGCAAUUGAAUCCAUACGCUGUUGCAUUCGCUCCUAUAAUUUAGCUGCCAUUUUUCCUUGGGUGAGACAGUGAUUGGUUAUGGCAGGACUGUAAUACGUUGUCAGCCCUGGUUACCCGGCGCUUGUUGACGGUGGCCUAACAUUGCCUGAGACAGGGUGUCACCGCAAAAUUGUUUGACAACAUUGAUGCUGUGGUUAACGGUGAGCGCUAACAAGGGCCAGGGUUGGGAGAGGGCAGAACGAGAGAUGUAGAGCUUCAGGCGGACAAAAGGGAUGGAGAUGGAAAGUAAAUCUGAGCAAGCUGUGAACGUCACUGAAAAUAAUGUAUUUUACGGUGGGGUUUUUUUUUUUAAAAAUGAAUGUUUGCAUACUAACGAUUUCAAAUUGUAGUUCCACUGAAAGCUCACAGCACCUCCAGCUUAACUGCAAGCUGUGUGGCUUCCAUGGAGUUGCAGUGAUGCUAGCAAUUAGAGAUGGGGGGAAAUAAUUUGAUUUUGUCCACAUUUUAACGUGAGACUACCUAAUUCAUACAUUAAGAACCAUUGCACCAACCAAAAUGCAGCUCGCCUUCAAAAUUCUCACUUGUCCAAAUUUUGCAGUGCAGUUCUUCAAUCAACCAAAGUGUAAAAAAUAAUAAUAAUGCAUAAUUUAAGGGAAAGCUUUGAAAAUAAGAUACCAAAAUAAAUUAUGUUAAGGGAAAGAGCUUUCAAAAAUGUGGCUGUUAGUCAAAACACCAUAUAAAACAUGUGUGUUUACUUUGAAAAUCCACUCUAAAAUUAUCACAAAUUUUAAUGAGGGGUUUUCUUCUUCUUUAAUUCAAAUUGCUUCCUAAAUAUGGAGAACUGAAUGGAAGAUUGUAAAAAAAGAGAAACUAAAACUGGCAUAUUUGUCAAACCCUACUAGGAUUAUUCCAAAAAUUUAUCCAGAAGAGCUUCCAUAUACAAAAUUGCAUAUGUAAAAAAUCAGAAUGUUUACUUUUGCAAAUAGCUCUAUUUUGGGUAGAGAGCCCUUAUACACACUUGAAAAUAAAUAAAUACUUUUACAGACUGUCACAUGACACAACAGAGGUUGGGUCCAUAUUUAUGUCCUCGUUUUAUUUAUUGAUUUAUGAGAUUUCUUACUAACCCUUCACUUGACAGUCCCAGGGCAAUAGAAAAUAGGGCACAAUACUCUUAAACCAAAGGUAGAUAGCAGGCCCCAAAAGCAGAGAUGAAUGGGGUCAUUUGAAAGAGGGAUUGGAACCCUGUAGCUCAGCAAAUGUUGUUGCUUUACAACUCCCAUUUUCCCUGACCAUUUGUUACAGUGGCUGGAGCUGAGGGGAAACUUAAGAAGGAUAUUGACAAGCUAGAAUGUGUGCAGAAGAGGGCAACCAAGAUGAUCAAGGAUCUAGAAACCAAGCAAUGAUUAUAAAGGAGUUGCUUAUGAGCAAUGGUUGAGGGGUUGGGUAUGUUUGGCCUGAAGAAGAGACGACUGAGAGGUGACUUGAGAGCCAUCUUCAAAUAUAUGAAAGGCUUUACAUGGAAGACAUGGCAAGCUUGUUUUCUGCAAUUUCAGAGGCCACAACACAACCAAUCAAUUCAAAUGUCCGGAAAGCAGAUUCUGGCUAACCAUUAUGAAAAACUUUCCAAUGGUAAGAGCUAUCAGACAGUGGAAUGGGCUACCUCAGAAGGUGAUGGACUUUCCUUCCUUUGAUAUUUUGAAACAGAGGCUAGAUGACCAUCUGCCAGGGAUUCUCUAGCUGUGAUUCCUGCAUUGCAGGGGGCUGAACUCAAUGACUCCUUUCCAACUCUAUGAUUCUGUGAUUCUGUGAACCAGAAGCCAGUGCAGCUGUUGAAAUAUAGGUGCUGCAUGAAAGCUCUGAAAAUGCUCAAUAUGGAGGCCAAAUGGCCGAAAUAUUGGGAAAUUCUGGAACAAGAUGGAGAUAGACUGAAAUUGCAGAGUUUUGAGAAAUUAAAAAACAAAGUGCGAGAUUGGCUUCAUUAUUAUCAGAUAAUGGAGGCAUAUAAUUUGGACAAGAAAAUUGGCUUCCAGGUGGAAAAAUCAAAAUUAGAAACAGAACUGUUAGAACCCAAAACUAAGAUUCUGUCAAAAAUGUAUAACUUGCUGUUGAAAUGGAAUACUCAGGAUGAAACGGUGAAAUCUGCUAUGAUUAAAUGGGCACAAGAUGUUAGACAUAACAUAAUGAUGGCUGACUGGGAACAGUUAUGGACCACAGGUAUGAAGUUUAUGGCAUGCAAUGCCUUAAGAGAGAAUAUUAUGAAAAUGAUAUACAGGUGGUACAUGACCCCAGUCAAGCUUGCAAAAAUGUAUCAUUUGCCCGAUAAUAAAUGCUGGAAAUGUAAAGAAACUGAAGAUACAUUCUUCCACCUUUGGUGGACGUGCCCAAGGAUUAAGGCUUUCUGGGAGAUGAUAUAUAAUGAAUUGAAAAAGGUAUUUAAAUAUACCUUCUUGAAGAAACCAGAGGCCUUUCUCCUAGGCAUAGUCGGCCAAUUGGUGCCAAAGAAGGAUAGAACUUUUUUUAUGUAUGCCACAACAGCAGCAAGAAUACUCAUUGCAAAGUAUUGGAAGACACAAGAUCUACCCACCUUGGAAGAAUGGCAGAUGAAGCUGAUGGACUAUAUGGAACUGGCAGAAAUGACUGGCAGAAUCCGAGACCAGGGAGAAGAGUCGGUGGAAGAAGAUUGGAAGAAAUUCAAAGACUAUCUACAGAAAUAUUGUAAAAUUAAUGAAUGUUAGAAUGAUGUUGGAUAGAAAUUAAGUGGUUUCCAGCUGUAAUGCUUUAAGGGAAUAUGAAAAAUGGGUUGUUAAUAGGUAAAAAUCUAACGUUACUAUUUUAAGACCAAAGAUUAGGAUAAACAAAGAGGGUAAGGAUUUGCUGAACCAACAAAUUGAACUGGAAUACGAAAAAGGGAGGUAUGAGGAGGUCCGGGAAACAAGCUAAGGAAAAAUAAGUAAUGGAAAAAUUGAGUGGUUUUUAAUCAUUUUUAUUUUGUAUUUUGUAUAUUUUCUUUUUUUUCUCUCCCCCCCCCUUUUUUCAUUUUUAUAUUGUAACAUUUGGAAAAUCUCAAUAAAUAUCUUAUAUAUAUAAAAAAAAUGAAAUAUAGGUGCUGCAUGCUUCCAUGGUGAAUAAAGGUAAGGUAAAGGGACCCCUGACCAUUAGGUCCAGUCGUGACCGACUCUGGGGUUGCAGCGCUCAUCUCACUUUAUUGGCCGAGGGAGCCGGCGUACAGCUUCCAGGUCAUGUGGUCAGCAUGACUAAGCCGCUUCUGGCGAACCAGAACAGUGCACAGAAACGCCGUUUACCUUCCUGCUGGAGCAGUACCUAUUUAUCUACUUGCACUUUGACGUGCUUUCAAACUGCUAGGUUGGCAGGAGCAGGGACCGAGCAACGGGAGCCCACCCCGUUGUGGGGAUUCAAACUGCCGACCUUCUGCUUGGCAAGUCCUAGGCUCUGUGGUUUCACCCACAGCGCCACCCACGUCCCUCCAUGGGUGAAUACCUGUUAGCAACUCACUGUUGCAUUCUGUUGGAGAUUGCAGAGCAACUUAAAACACAGCCCCGUCAUCUGAGCCAAUGAGCCGUGCUUGCAUGCAACUACUAUCACUGCAGACUCCUUUGCCUACACCUAAGCAUAGUGCUCAUCAGAUCCUUCUGCCAAUUGAUCUCAUAUUCUAGUGAUGUGCAAUUGAACUGACAGCCAGUUAUUGGCAUCCUUGUAUAACUCAUUACUGCAUCAAGGAUCUGGCAAGUCCACUGAGGAGAAGCCAUGUGUGCUCCUUUGACAUUGAUGCCUCCCUUUCAUUUCCCAUUGUUUGUUACACCCAAUCUUUGUCUCAUCAUCCUUCAUGCCAGGUCUCCCCUUGCUCUGCGCCAAGCCAGGAACUUGUCAGAAUAAUGAGUUACGGUUUAUUCAGAUUGUGCUGUGGCAGAUGUCGUCUUGGGUGGCCUGUUUUUGAAUAUUUAGGAACUGCGGGUGGGGGAAGGAGUGCUGAAGGACCAUAGCUCAGCGGCAGAGCAUCUCCUUUUUGUGCAAAAGGUCGCAGGUUCAAUCCUCGGCAUUUCCAGGUAGGGCUAGGAAACUGUUAUGUACUAAGUUGGAUCCUAGAACAAUAGGCAAGUAGGAUCCUAGAAUGCAACAACUGAUUGGCUUGCAGGAAAAGACCAAUCAGGCUCCAGGAGGAAGUUGAUCAGCCUAUUAGGCUGGUAGGAUUGUAGAAUGCAACAGCUGAUUGGCCUGCAGGAAAAGACCAAUCAGGCUCCAGGAGGGAAGCAGAAUCAGCCAAUCAGAUAGGACUCAUUGUGUAAAUAAUGUAUAUAAAAGCCUGAGGUUUCGGGGGCAAUCCAAUCACUGUUUUACAAGCUGCAAUAAAGAGCAUGAAAUCACUACAGGACUCCGAGUAUAUUUCAGAAACGUUUCCUGCCUGAACCUGUGGGGACCUGAUGCCAUUCAGAGCAGAUAAUACUGAACAAGAUGGAUCAAUGGUCUGACUCAAAAUAAGGCAAUUUCCUCUGUUCCUAGAUGCUCUCAAAUGUUACGUAGGCUAAGCUUUCUGAAGAUGGUCUUGGUUCCCAGGGAUCUUGCUUGAAGCCUAUGCCCAUUACUCUGCCGAGCCUCCCCAGGGCCUUUAUUCUACCCAUUCAAAUGGUGGAUAAGUACCAAGUUCGCAUCCCCACGACGGGGUGAACUCCCAUUGCUCUGUCCCAGUUCCUGGCAACCUAAGGCCUGGGGGCUGGAUCAGGCCCAAUCGCCUUCUCAACCCAGCCUGUGAGCAGUCCAGGAAUCAGCAUGUUUUUACAUGAGUAGAAUGUGUGUUUUUAUUUAAAAUGCAUCUCUGGGUUAUUUGUGGGGCAUAGCAAUUCAUUCAUUCCUCCCCCCC
Molecule: long non-coding RNA, 5270 nt
Filed under: Podarcis lilfordi (Lilford's wall lizard)
Lineage: Eukaryota; Metazoa; Chordata; Lepidosauria; Squamata; Lacertidae
Source: RNAcentral